Molecule: ribosomal RNA, 449 nt
Filed under: uncultured bacterium
Lineage: Bacteria
Description: partial 16S ribosomal RNA
Rfam family: Bacterial small subunit ribosomal RNA
Source: RNAcentral
AACGAACGCUGGCGGCAUGCCUAACACAUGCAAGUCGAACGAGAUCUUCGGGUCUAGUGGCGCACGGGUGCGUAACGCGUGGGAAUCUGCCCUUUGGUUCGGAAUAACAGUUGGAAACGACUGCUAAUACCGGAUGAUGACGAAAGUCCAAAGAUUUAUCGCCAGGGGAGGAGACCGCGUCGGAUUAGCUAGUUUGUGGAGUAAAGGCGCACCAAGGCGACGAUCCUUAGCUGGUCUGAGAGGAUGAUCAGCCACACUGGGAUUGAGACACGGCCCAGACUCCUACGGGAGGCAGUAGUGGGGAAUAUUGGACAAUGGGCGAAAGACUGAUCCAGCAAUGCCGCGUGAGUGAUGAAGGCCUUAGGGUUGUAAAGCUCUUUUACCCGGAAUGAUAACGACAGUACCGGGAGAAUAAGCUCCGGCUAACUCCGUGCCAGCAGCCGCGGUAA